UGCAGUUUCUCAGCGUCUGGGCACACAGGCUGAACGGAGCCAAGGUGCGCCCUUCUCGUGUUACAGGUCCUCCCACUGCGAGCGCUCACAUCCCUGUGCCAGCCCUGUGAUGGAUGGAAGCCGCUCAUUUGUUUUAGGAGGUGCAGACUGCUUGACUCUGCUGUAUGAGUGCUGCGCCCGCCUCGGGGCAAACUGCUGAGUUUUUAAUCCUCCUCCGGCCCCUGACUGGAUUGUACACACUGUUCUGGUCCAGGGCGCAGCCUGCAGUGGCUGGUAUGAUGCCAGACGUCUCUGGUUUCCUCGGACCAGUGACACAUUUGGCCCCCCCGCGCUGGACUAAACCACGCUGAGAUGAGGCGGAGGGGGCCUGAUGGAGGGGCUUUACAGCUUGAAUGGUCGCCUGCCACCUGCCUCCCGUCAGCAUCCCACCCGCGUCCCGUCCAGGACCCCCGCUACACAGCCAGACUGCUGCAAUUUGGGAAGUUGAGGCAGAGAGUACCGAGCCAGUGAACCAAGAGAGAACGAGGGAUGCCUUUUGAAGACAUGCAGACAGACGUUAAGGCAUGCUGUAUGGCCGGCCUUGGAGGGGAUGCUGGGGGCCUUGGCUCUGGCUGAGGAAUGCAUCACCAGGGGCUUGAAAACCAAAUCCUUACACCCCCACCCUUUUUGAUGCGUCCCUGCUGCACAGGAAAUUGAUGAGCUUGCAGGAAAUGAUAAGUGAGCCAGCUAAGGGUUUCUGGCCAGAUGACUACGAACCCAGGCCGAGGUUUGCUGGCAUGAAUACAUUCGUUUUCACAUAAUGUACCAUGAGGCUUGUGCUACUUAAACAUGUGUACAGUACAAAUUUUGCAUGUGUGUAGCCCACAAAGCUCAUUAAAACAACUGCAUUAUGAAGCAGUUAUAAAACAAAAUGCAUCGCUCCCCGAGUUCAUCGUAAGCAGUCAUCGUAGGUUGCAAAGCUGUUUGGGUUACUGCAGCAAUGCAGUGUUAACUCACAUGGCCCUUGCACUGUACGGUACCAUUACUGACUUUAUCUGAGAAGAAUUUACAGCCCAUAUGGCUGGUGACACAACGUGAACUCCUUGUUUCAAGUAAAACCGCAAGAUGCAGUAAAAGUCCAGCCACAUGAAUGCAUACAAAUUCAGCAUUAGCACAUUGCUAAUUAUUUCAGAGCAAUUUUAUAAAACCUUACCUUGACAUAUAAAGUCAGAAGCUGUAAAGAGAGGUCUUGCAAAUGCAUUAAGCGGUGUGCUUCAUUUCUGUAAUUAGGGACCCUAACCCUAACCCUGACAUACAUAAGGAGAUACCCUCAGAGACUGAAAUAGGCCACUGAACUCAGAUGAUAGGAAAGUGCUGGAUGGAGCCCUGUCUUUUCGGUUUGGAAAGUGAACACAGACGCUAGGCUGGACGGCCAGCCCCAGACGGGCUCGCGGGUUUGUUUUGCAGUGAAAUCGGCGCAGCUGCUCUGCCCGGGUCUGCUCUGCUCUGAUC
Long non-coding RNA from Anguilla rostrata (American eel), 1491 nucleotides. RefSeq lists it as uncharacterized. The record is from RefSeq and is a predicted model, not a curated record. Lineage: Eukaryota; Metazoa; Chordata; Actinopteri; Anguilliformes; Anguillidae. The transcript is spliced from 7 exons.